GAUGAACGCUGGCGGCGUGCCUAAUACAUGCAAGUCGAGCGAACAGAUGAGGAGCUUGCUCCUCUGACGUUAGCGGCGGACGGGUGAGUAACACGUGGAUAACCUACCUAUAAGACUGGGAUAACUUCGGGAAACCGGAGCUAAUACCGGAUAAUAUAUUGAACCGCAUGGUUCAAUAGUGAAAGACGGUUUUGCUGUCACUUAUAGAUGGAACCGCGCCGCAUUAGCUAGUUGGUAAGGUAACGGCUUACCAAGGCAACGAUGCGUAGCCGACCUGAGAGGGUGAUCGGCCACACUGUAACUGAGACACGGUCCAGACUCCUACGUGAGGCAGCAGUAGGGAAUCUUCCGCAAUGGGCGAAAGCCUGACGGAGCAACGCCGCGUGAGUGAUGAAGGUCUUCGGAUCGUAAAACUCUGUUAUUAGGGAAGAACAAAUGUGUAAGUAACUAUGCACGUCUUGACGGUACCUAAUCAGAAAGCCACGGCUAACUACGUG
RNAcentral lists this ribosomal RNA (497 nucleotides) under uncultured bacterium. RNAcentral's name for it is "partial 16S ribosomal RNA". It matches the Rfam family "Bacterial small subunit ribosomal RNA", at positions 28 to 507 of the family's 1533-position model. The record is from RNAcentral.